UGUUCCUUCCUAUAUCUACGCAUUUCACCGCUACACAGGAAAUUCCACCACCCUCUACCGUACUCUAGCUUGCCAGUUUUGGAUGCAGUUCCCAGGUUGAGCCCGGGGCUUUCACAUCCAACUUAACAAACCACCUACGCGCGCUUUACGCCCAGUAAUUCCGAUUAACGCUUGCACCCUCUGUAUUACCGCGGCUGCUGGCACAGAGUUAGCCGGUGCUUAUUCUGUCGGUAACGUCAAAACAGCAAGGUAUUAACUUACUGCCCUUCCUCCCAACUUAAAGUGCUUUACAAUCCGAAGACCUUCUUCACACACGCGGCAUGGCUGGAUCAGGCUUUCGCCCAUUGUCCAAUAUUCCCCACUGCUGCCUCCCGUAGGAGUCUGGACCGUGUCUCAGUUCCAGUGUGACUGAUCAUCCUCUCAGACCAGUUACGGAUCGUCGCCUUGGUGAGCCAUUACCCCACCAACUAGCUAAUCCGACCUAGGCUCAUCUGAUAGCGCAAGGCCCGAAGGUCCCCUGCUUUCUCCCGUAGGACGUAUGCGGUAUUAGCGUUCCUUUCGAAACGUUGUCCCCCACUACCAGGCAGAUUCCUAGGCAUUACUCACCCGUCCGCCGCUGAAUCAAGGAGCAAGCUCCCGUCAUCCGCUCGACUUGCAUGUGUUAGGCCUGCCGCCAGCGUUCAAU
RNAcentral lists this ribosomal RNA (685 nucleotides) under Pseudomonas sp. RNAcentral describes it as "partial 16S rRNA". Lineage: Bacteria; Pseudomonadati; Pseudomonadota; Gammaproteobacteria; Pseudomonadales; Pseudomonadaceae. The record is from RNAcentral.